AGUUGAGUUUUUGCUACAGAAAUUUGCUUAUUGAUGCCUUUCUUUGGAGUGAGAAGAGCAGCCCGAAAACUGAAAAUUGGAAACGGUGCCACCCUUGCCACCAUUCCCAUAGUCACGGCGGGGUGGUGGUUAAUGAAACAGAGAUGGGCACCCAGGGCUGCGCUCACUGAACUCUACGGGCUGAGCACGGCAAAACGGACUUCCGAGCAGCCAGCUGCUUAACCCACGCUGUAGUGUGGGUGGUUUUGUUUUUU
This 254-nucleotide long non-coding RNA is filed under the name Pan troglodytes (chimpanzee). Its description in RNAcentral is "long non-coding RNA NONPTRT002605". The record is from RNAcentral. Lineage: Eukaryota; Metazoa; Chordata; Mammalia; Primates; Hominidae.